GAUGAACGCUAGCGGCAGGCUUAACACAUGCAAGUCGAGGGGCAGCGCGGGAUAGCAAUAUCCUGGCGGCGACCGGCGGAAGGGUGCGUAACGCGUGAGCGACAUGCCCGUUGCCCGGGGACAACCGGUGGAAACGCCGACUAAUCCCCGAUGGGAUAAUGUGCCGCAUGGCACGAUAUUGAAAGUUACGGCGGCGACGGAUUGGCUCGCGUCCGAUUAGCUUGUUGGCGGGGUAACGGCCCACCAAGGCUGCGAUCGGUAGGGGUUCUGAGAGGAAGGCCCCCCACAAUGGGACUGAGACACGGCCCAUACUCCUACGGGAGGCAGCAGUGAGGAAUAUUGGUCAAUGGGCGGAAGCCUGAACCAGCCAUGCCGCGUGCGGGAAGGAGGCCCUAUGGGCUGUGAACCGCUUUUGCCUGGGGGCAAUAAGGGCGUCGCGCACGUCCGAUGAGAGUACCAGGCGAAUAAGCAUCGGCUAACUCCGUG
This 486-nucleotide ribosomal RNA is filed under the name uncultured bacterium. Its description in RNAcentral is "partial 16S ribosomal RNA". It matches the Rfam family "Bacterial small subunit ribosomal RNA", at positions 28 to 507 of the family's 1533-position model. The record is from RNAcentral.